GACGAACGCUGGCGGCGUGCUUAACACAUGCAAGUCGAACGGAAAGGCCCUGCUUGCAGGGUACUCGAGUGGCGAACGGGUGAGUAACACGUGGGUGAUCUGCCCUGCACUUCGGGAUAAGCUUGGGAAACUGGGUCUAAUACCGGAUAGGAACCAUCUUUAGUGUGGUGGUUGGAAAGUUUUUUCGGUGUGGGAUGAGCUCGCGGCCUAUCAGCUUGUUGGUGGGGUAAUGGCCUACCAAGGCGGCGACGGGUAGCCGGCCUGAGAGGGUGUACGGCCACAUUGGGACUGAGAUACGGCCCAGACUCCUACGGGAGGCAGCAGUGGGGAAUAUUGCACAAUGGGCGCAAGCCUGAUGCAGCGACGCCGCGUGGGGGAUGAAGGCCUUCGGGUUGUAAACUCCUUUCGCUAGGGACGAAGCUUUUUGUGACGGUACCUAGAUAAGAAGCACCGGCUAACUACGUG
RNAcentral lists this ribosomal RNA (465 nucleotides) under uncultured bacterium. Its description in RNAcentral is "partial 16S ribosomal RNA". It matches the Rfam family "Bacterial small subunit ribosomal RNA", at positions 28 to 507 of the family's 1533-position model. The record is from RNAcentral.